Molecule: ribosomal RNA, 492 nt
Filed under: uncultured bacterium
Lineage: Bacteria
Description: partial 16S ribosomal RNA
Rfam family: Bacterial small subunit ribosomal RNA
Source: RNAcentral
AGUGAACGCUGGCGGUAGGCCUAACACAUGCAAGUCGAACGGCAGCACAGUAAGAGCUUGCUCUUACGGGUGGCGAGUGGCGGACGGGUGAGGAAUACAUCGGAAUCUACUUUUUCGUGGGGGAUAACGUAGGGAAACUUACGCUAAUACCGCAUACGACCUACGGGUGAAAGCAGGGGAUCUUCGGACCUUGCGCGAUUGAAUGAGCCGAUGUCGGAUUAGCUAGUUGGCGGGGUAAAGGCCCACCAAGGCGACGAUCCGUAGCUGGUCUGAGAGGAUGAUCAGCCACACGGGAACUGAGACACGGUCCAGACGACUACGGGAGGCAGCAGUGGGGAAUAUUGGACAAUGGGCGCAAGCCUGAUCCAGCCAUACCGCGUGGGUGAAGAAGGCCUUCGGGUUGUAAAGCCCUUUUGUUGGGAAAGAAAAGCAGCAGGUUAAUACCACGCUGUUCUGACGGUACCCAAAGAAUAAGCACCGGCUAACUUCGUG